CGAUGUUGGGAUUUGAGUUCCCACCAGCUGUGAGGAAGCAGCACAUUGUAGACAUCAUGUGAUGUCUCUGAGCAUGAGACAGGAAGUCCCAGCUAGUGUAACGCAGCUGGUGGGAACUCAAAUCCCAACAUCCU
Molecule: non-coding RNA, 134 nt
Organism: Podarcis lilfordi (Lilford's wall lizard)
Lineage: Eukaryota; Metazoa; Chordata; Lepidosauria; Squamata; Lacertidae
Source: the annotation of a GenBank genome assembly